GACGUAGGGUCCGAGCGUUGUCCGGAGUUACUGGGCGUAAAGGGCGCGUAGGCGGCUUUGUGCGUCACCCGUGAAAGCCCCCGGCUCAACCGGGGAGGGUCGGGUGAAACGGCGGAGCUGGAGGCAGCGAGAGGCUGGUGGGAAUUCCCGGAGUAGUGGUGAAAAUGCGUAGAGAUCGGGAGGAACACCCGGUGGCGAAGGCGGCCAGCUGGCGCUGACCUGACGCUGAG
This 230-nucleotide ribosomal RNA is filed under the name uncultured bacterium. Its description in RNAcentral is "partial 16S ribosomal RNA". It matches the Rfam family "Bacterial small subunit ribosomal RNA", at positions 524 to 750 of the family's 1533-position model. The record is from RNAcentral.